CUAAAUUAUUUUACACCUCUGACUUCCUGAACCGAAUUGAGAAAUCAAACGAAUAUUAAAAAAUGAAGUCACUUCCAACAACCCUAUUGAGUUUCCUCGUGCUCUCUCUUCAGUCUUCUCCUUCAACUUCAGUCGCAGCCGCACCGAUUCAUCGUGGUCACCGUCGUCCGUACGUCUUCUUCUUCAAGCCACCAUCGUUGAUGCAUGCUUCAUCAUUGUUCUGCUUUUGCCGUCGCUCGUUCCUUGUUGUUCCAUGAUGCUCUUAUGCUCCAAUGGUUUCGUCGUUCACCCUUCAUCGGCUGUCGGUCCCAACUCCCCACUCCUCAAUUUCUGGAUAAGGCACGAAACAGUGGGUAGACACAAGAAAGCAGAAGAGUCUAGGGAUUUGGUUGAAAAGGCCUAAACCCCAACUUCGCACCAGCUUAUCACAAUGUUGAUGUUGAUUAUUUCUUCCUACAGUUUAAUGGCUUACUGAAGAUAUGCUUUGUUAUUCAUAUUUUACCGCCUGUAAAGCACUGUAAGAUUUUUAUGUUCUUCUCCUGCUCUUUUUGGCUUAAAUGGAAUAAUGGAGGCCGGUGUUUUUACUUU
Long non-coding RNA from Prosopis cineraria, 588 nucleotides. RefSeq lists it as uncharacterized. NCBI's taxonomy places the organism in Eukaryota, Viridiplantae, Streptophyta, Magnoliopsida, Fabales, Fabaceae. The record is from RefSeq and is a predicted model, not a curated record. The transcript is spliced from 2 exons.